CUAUAAAAUCGAAUGCUGUAUUAGAAACUAAAUGUACCAUCUUUUAAUUGAUAAUUCAAAUUGCAAACUAUUUUUGAUCAAAACAGGAAUUUUCAAACAUCUGCGUGUUUGUUAUAUUUGCCAUGUGUUUACUUAAACGACUAGUAAAGAAAAAAAGCAGACCUACUAGAUUUAAAUUAAAGAUCUAGUGUGUUUCUCACUCUUGACGAUUGACCAAAUGACUCAGAAAUUUACAAAUUUAUGUCACCUUCCGGCAUUCUAAAAUAACAAAAGCCCAUAACACAUAGUCAGAGCGCCCUAUAUAAUUGUUCUAAGAUACAACUAUAAAUAUAUAAAUGUGAAUAUAUAUUUGAGUCUUGUUGGUUUGAGAUGAUGAUGCAUACUUUUAUUUUUUUAAGUUCGAUAAUAUGUAAAUGACGCUAUUCUAAAAGAAUCGUUUUAUUUCUUAAGAACACUAACAAAUGUAAUAAGAAUAUAAUCAUUUAACACAAUACAGUUUUAAAAAGACCAAGGACAGUUUUCAUAUUUAUUGUCUCUCUGUUUGUCUAUUUGAAUUACACCAUCAACGUAGCCAUGGUAGAAUAUUAUUUAGAUUUUUUUAUAUCAGGAUAACAUUUUGUUCAAUUGUUUUAGGUUAUUAAGUAUUAAUAUUUGUAUCAUUCGUAGCAUCACAUUUAAAUGUUUGAGGUAUUUUGCUGAUAGUAUUGAGGCAUAUUGAGUUACCAUGGCGACAACCUUCUACUAGGAUGAUAUUAAAGUUAUAUUUAAGUACAAUUAACAAUUUGUACAGUUAUAGGUGAAUUGUACACGGUUUAUAUUUUUCUGUUCGUGAACAAAUGGAUAUUGUCUACCUUGUAAACUUUGUAAGCUUAAACAUCAGAAGCGUAGCCGUGAUAUAAGUGCUAUGUUAAAUACCGAAAAAUGUCAAAUGAGCAAAAUAGAAAUAUAUUCAGGACGCAAUUAUACAUGAUUUGUCCAUAAUGAGGGAGAAAUGAGGGGAUUAAUUUUCAGUUUGAAUUAUUUUUAUCGAACCUACUUUCUGAGGAUUUCGGCAAAAAUGAUAUUUAAAACAUGAUUAUUUCAUCCUUUAAUUUCGUAAAUGAUUAACUGUUCGUGAUAUUAAAUAGAUUAAGUCAACAUAUAAGUAUACGUCCGUUAAAGGAAGUUUACAAGAAAUCCUCUACUUUGAAUUCAAGACGUUAAAAGGCAUAAAGAAUAUCAAGUGUAUAUAAUUAUUAUAAAUAAUCUACAACUGAUACAUAAAGAUCAAUUUUACCAAAAAGGACAAAAGUACGAGUAAAAUACCUCAUACUUUGCAAUAUCUGUAAUAGUGUUUAUUUAUGUACUACAUGUAAUUAUCAUCAUUAAAGCUUUGCUGUA
Molecule: long non-coding RNA, 1380 nt
Filed under: Mytilus galloprovincialis (Mediterranean mussel)
Lineage: Eukaryota; Metazoa; Mollusca; Bivalvia; Mytilida; Mytilidae
Source: RNAcentral